CCUACGGGUGGCAGCAGUGGGGGAUAUUGCACAAUGGGGGAAACCCUGAUGCAGCGACGCCGCGUGUGGGAAGACGGUCCUCUGGAUUGUAAACUACUGUCCUCAGGGACGAAGAUGACGGUACUUGGGGAGGAAGCUCCGGCUAACUACGUACCAGCAGCCGCGGUAAUACGUAGGGAGCAAGCGUUGUCCGGAAUUACUGGGUGAAAGGGGAUCGUAGGCGGGUUGGCAAGUUGGGUGUUAAAUCUACCGGCUAAACUGGUAGUCGCACUCGAAACUGGUAGUCUUGAGUGAAGUAGAGGCAGGCGGAAUUCCUAGUGUAGCGGUGAAAUGCGUAGAUAUUAGGAGGAACACCAGUGGCGAAGGCGGCCUACUGGGCUUUUACUGACGCUGAGGCUCGAAAGUGUGGGGAGCAAACAGGAUUAGAUACCCCUGUAGUC
RNAcentral lists this ribosomal RNA (440 nucleotides) under uncultured bacterium. RNAcentral's name for it is "partial 16S ribosomal RNA". It matches the Rfam family "Bacterial small subunit ribosomal RNA", at positions 338 to 795 of the family's 1533-position model. The record is from RNAcentral.